This is a non-coding RNA of Pelobates cultripes (western spadefoot toad), 240 nucleotides long. Lineage: Eukaryota; Metazoa; Chordata; Amphibia; Anura; Pelobatidae. The record is from the annotation of a GenBank genome assembly.
GGGAAGCUCCCGCCCUACCUGAGCAAAAUGCUCUCCUCUGCUGUUCCCACCUCCUAUAACCUCCGAUCCAGUACAAGCACUUUACUUAGUCUACCUCAAUACAAAAAGAAAGCGACUCGAUCCUCCUUCUCCUACAGAGCGCCCCAAUUGUGGAAUGACCUCCUGCACACUUUAAAAUCUUCCCCCAAGCCUAAAGUCCUUUAAGAGAUCCCUCUCCACAUACCCCAAAACAGAAUGCAC